UCCCUGAUAGCUCAGUUGGUAAAGAAUCUGUCUGCAAUGCAGGAGACCCUGGUUUGAUUCCUGGAUUGGGAA
RNAcentral lists this transfer RNA (72 nucleotides) under Ovis aries (sheep). It matches the Rfam family "tRNA". Rfam says of the family: Transfer RNA (tRNA) molecules are approximately 80 nucleotides in length. Their secondary structure includes four short double-helical elements and three loops (D, anti-codon, and T loops). Further hydrogen bonds mediate the characteristic L-shaped molecular structure. tRNAs have two regions of fundamental functional importance: the anti-codon, which is responsible for specific mRNA codon recognition, and the 3' end, to which the tRNAs corresponding amino acid is attached (by aminoacyl-tRNA synthetases). tRNAs cope with the degeneracy of the genetic code in two manners: having more than one tRNA (with a specific anti-codon) for a particular amino acid; and 'wobble' base-pairing, i.e. permitting non-standard base-pairing at the 3rd anti-codon position. Lineage: Eukaryota; Metazoa; Chordata; Mammalia; Artiodactyla; Bovidae. The record is from Rfam by way of RNAcentral.